UCAGAGCAGCCCCAGGUGUGAGCAGUUAUGGUAAAGAAUGGGUGGGUCCUGCCCGGGGCUAUUUUAGGGGGAGGGUUUCUGUCACUUCGCUUGAGCAUGGAGUGUGGAGCAGUUGGAGCAGAGGGAUUUUUGGUGAGCUCCUGGGGGGUAUUUCAUGGAAUAAUACUGGGAGUGUCUCAUAGGAUCUGGGAGAACAGCUGGAUACACCUGGACAUGGAGCAUUGUUUAAAGCAGCAUCUGAGCCAAGUAAGCCUGUGUGGGUUCGCAGGGAUUUGCAAAAGGGAUUUUCCCUUUUGAUUUCAUUUUGCCGUUUGCUCCCCAAUUCCCCCCGGAAGAAAUGGGUAUUAUGAGGACAAAAGGGGGGCAUAAAUUGAGGGAAGAAACUCCUGUUAUUAUCUAUUUUUACACUGGGGGGGAGUCCACCUAUGAUUUUAAGGGUGCUGAUUGGAGGAAAACCUGCCUUUUCCAGGGUGUUAGGGGUAUCAGUGAACAGUGAAUCCCCAUGUUCCAUUUUAAAUGGAAGGGGGGAAAUAUUGUUGCUAUUUUAUGGGUUUGACUUGAGGGGAACCCCCCACUUUCCAUCAUCCUGAGGUUUAAAUUGAGAAGGAAGCCUUAUAGUCACUACUUUUUAAGGGUCUGAUUGAGUGUUCCCCUUUUCCUAUCAUUUGAGAGAUUUCAAUCAAGGGAAAAACAACUUUUUACUUUUAGGGGAUUAAAUUGAAGGGGGGGAGCACUCAUUUAUUUGCCAUCGUAUUGGUUUAAGAAGGCACGAACACCCCCCCAUUGCCUCAGUUUCCGGGGUUCAAUUGACAGAAACACCGGCUUUUCCAGCAUUAGGCGGGGUCACAUGGAGCCGUGGCGCUGCUUUUGAGAGCGAUUCUGACCCCUUACAGCCCUGCACGGCAGCGCUUCUGGCAUUCCCUGGGGAAUUUGGCGGCUGGGCAGCCCCCGAGGAGUGACAGAGCCGUGCUGAGGCCGGGCGGGCAGGCGGGAGCCGCGGCGCGGAGCUGUGUCUGUCCCGGCUGCUCUGUCCGCUCCGGGCGCGGGGCUCGGGCACCGCUGGGGCCCCUUCGGGCCGGUCCCGGUGCCGCUGGGCGGGCCGGGCUCUCCCGGGGCCGGAGCUGCCCCCGCCCGCCGGAGGAGCCGCUUUCCGGCCGGGAGCGCGGGGCCGCCCCCGGGUGCCGAGUGCCGCCGCUGCCGGGGCUCGCGUGGUUUCCCCGGUCCCCCCGCACCUGGAGCGGCGCCAGCCCGGGAGCGAGUCCCGGCGGGGGCCGCUGGGGAACACUUGUGGCUUAUUGGCUUCAGAGUGCCCUGGCAAAAGCCGCUGGGAGGAGGGGAGGGGGAAAAGCCCGACCUGCCGGGCUUUUUGUCUCGGGGCUUUGUCGAUAUUGCUCUUUAGCCGAGCUGUGCCUUUAAAUAACGAUGUGGUGCCUUCUAGAAACUGUGUCCAAUACCUUUUGUACCCUCGCAGGAGGGCUUCGAGCUCAGGUUUUUCCAUUGCCGAGUUAACUGCAGGUCCGAGCUGGCAGCGUCCCGUGCAUCUGGGGGCCAAAUACGAGUGGCAAAUCAACUUUGGCAUGGAACUGCUGAAGGAGAGGAGUUUCUGGUGGGCUCCCAGUGGCAUCUGAUGGAGUGACGGUGAGAGUAUCUCAUAGGGUCUGGGGGAGCACGUGGAUGCACCUGGACGUGGAGCACUGCUUAAAGGAGGUGGUGAGGGACAAAGCUUUCUGCCAGGAAGCAGCACCUGAACAGCUGAGCCAGUGUGGAUUUGCAGGGGUGAUCUUUCUCCUUUUCCCUUUUGAUUUCAUCUUGGCAGUCCCUCCCUGGUGCCCUCAAUCUGUCACAAGAAUUCCAAAAAUAAAAAGGCUGAGUGAACAGUGAAAAGAAGGGGU
Long non-coding RNA from Cyanistes caeruleus (blue tit), 1892 nucleotides. Lineage: Eukaryota; Metazoa; Chordata; Aves; Passeriformes; Paridae. The record is from Ensembl.